AUUGAACGCUGGCGGCAUGCCUUACACAUGCAAGUCGAACGGUAACGCGGGGCAACCUGGCGACGAGUGGCGAACGGGUGAGUAAUGCAUCGGAGCGUGCCCAGUAGUGGGGGAUAGCCCGGCGAAAGCCGGAUUAAUACCGCAUACGACCUAAGGGUGAAAGCGGGGGAUCGCAAGACCUCGCGCUAUUGGAGCGGCCGAUGUCGGAUUAGCUAGGUGGUGGGGUAAAGGCCUACCGAGGCAACGAUCCGUAGCUGGUCUGAGAGGACGACCAGCCACACUGGGACUGAGACACGGCCCAGACUCCUACGGGAGGCAGCAGUGGGGAAUUUUGGACAAUGGGCGCAAGCCUGAUCCAACCAUGCCGCGUGCGGGAAGAAGGCCUUCGGGUUGUAAACCGCUUUUGUCAGGGAAGAAACGGUCUGAGUUAAUACCUCGGGCUAAUGACGGUACCUGAAGAAUAAGCACCGGCUAACUACGUGCCAGCCGCCGCGGUAA
This 498-nucleotide ribosomal RNA is filed under the name uncultured bacterium. RNAcentral's name for it is "partial 16S ribosomal RNA". It matches the Rfam family "Bacterial small subunit ribosomal RNA", at positions 29 to 523 of the family's 1533-position model. The record is from RNAcentral.